Molecule: ribosomal RNA, 490 nt
Filed under: uncultured bacterium
Lineage: Bacteria
Description: bacterial SSU rRNA
Rfam family: Bacterial small subunit ribosomal RNA
Source: RNAcentral
CUACGUGCCAGCAGCCGCGGUAAUACGUAGGGCGCGAGCGUUGUCCGGAAUUAUUGGGCGUAAAGGGCUUGUAGGCGGUUGGUCGCGUCUGCCGUGAAAUCCUCUGGCUUAACUGGGGGCGUGCGGUGGGUACGGGCUGGCUUGAGUGCGGUAGGGGAGACUGGAACUCCUGGUGUAGCGGUGGAAUGCGCAGAUAUCAGGAAGAACACCGGUGGCGAAGGCGGGUCUCUGGGCCGUUACUGACGCUGAGGAGCGAAAGCGUGGGGAGCGAACAGGAUUAGAUACCCUGGUAGUCCACGCUGUAAACGUUGGGCACUAGGUGUGGGGGCCACCCGUGGUUUCUGCGCCGUAGCUAACGCUUUAAGUGCCCCGCCUGGGGAGUACGGCCGCAAGGCUAAAACUCAAAGGAAUUGACGGGGGCCCGCACAAGCGGCGGAGCAUGCGGAUUAAUUCGAUGCAACGCGAAGAACCUUACCAAGGCUUGACAUGC